UGCUUAUCUUACCUACCGUUUAGUGGGGGAUAAAAUACCGCAUAUUCUGGUUUCGACCAGGAAAGGACUUCGGUUCGCUAAAUGAUGGGGAUAAGUCGUAUCAGUUAGUUGGUAGGGUAAAGGCCUACCAAGACAAUGACGCGUAGCCGGGCUGAGAGGCUGAUCGGCCACAAGGGAACUGAGACACGGUUCCUACUCCUACGGGAGGCAGCAAUGAUGAAUCGUCGGCAAUGGGGGCAACCCUGACCGCGCAAUGCUACGUGAAGGAGGAAGGUCUACGGAUUGUAAACUUCUUUACUAGAGGGUACUGACGCAAGAAUUACCCUUUAGCAAAAAGUCACGACUAACUAUGUGCCAGCAGUCGCGGUAAGACAUAGGUGGCAAACGUUAUCCGGAAUUAUUGGGCGUAAAGGGUGCGUAGAUGGUAUGAUAAGUUAGCGGUGGGAAAUCGAGGCUCAACCUCGUGGAAGCUGGUAAUACUAUCGUGCUAGAGUGUAGGAGAGGUUAACGGAACUCCCCGUGGAGCGGUGAAAUGCAUAGAUAUGGGGAAGAACACCAAUAACGGCGAAGGCAGUUAACUAUUCUACUACUGACAUUGAGGCACGAAAGCGUGGGGAGCAAAAAGGAUUAGAUACCCUUGUAGUCCACGCCCUAAACGAUGAGUACUAGAUAUUGGGAACUUGAUUCUCAGUGUCGCUGGUAACCCGGUAAGUACUCCGCCUGGGUAGUACGGUCGCAAGGCUGAAACUCAAAGGAAUUGACGGGGACUCGCACAAGCAGUGGAGCAUGUGGUUUAAUCCGAUACGACGCGUAGAACCUUACCAAGGCUUGACAUGUUCGGCAAAGUUGCUGAAAGGCAAUAGAGGUUAUCCGAACACAGGUGCUGCAUGGCCGUCGUCAGUUCGUGCCGUGAGGUGUAUGGUUAAGUCCUAUAACGAACGCAACCCUUGGGCUUAGUUACCAGCAUUCAGUUGGGGACUCUAAGCCGACUGCCCGAGUAAUCGGGAGGAAGGAAAGGAUGAAGUCUGAUCGUC
This 1034-nucleotide ribosomal RNA is filed under the name Candidatus Moeniiplasma glomeromycotorum. Its description in RNAcentral is "bacterial SSU rRNA". It matches the Rfam family "Bacterial small subunit ribosomal RNA", at positions 114 to 1194 of the family's 1533-position model. Lineage: Bacteria; Bacillati; Mycoplasmatota; Mollicutes; Mycoplasmatales; Mycoplasmataceae. The record is from RNAcentral.